CAAAAGAUAAGCUAAAAAAGCUAGCGGACCCAUACUCCGCUAAUGAGAGUCACCCUCUCUCUUUUUA
Molecule: transfer RNA, 67 nt
Filed under: Engaewa subcoerulea
Lineage: Eukaryota; Metazoa; Arthropoda; Malacostraca; Decapoda; Parastacidae
Description: tRNA-Met
Source: RNAcentral